Molecule: non-coding RNA, 103 nt
Organism: Papio anubis (olive baboon)
Lineage: Eukaryota; Metazoa; Chordata; Mammalia; Primates; Cercopithecidae
Source: Rfam
AUUUACGGCCAUACCACCCUGAACAUGCUCGACCUCAUCUGAUCUCAGAUGCUAAGCAGGGUUAGGCCUGGUAAGUACUUGGGUGGGAGUCAUGCCUUAAUUC